RNAcentral lists this unclassified non-coding RNA (356 nucleotides) under Hevea brasiliensis (rubber tree). Lineage: Eukaryota; Viridiplantae; Streptophyta; Magnoliopsida; Malpighiales; Euphorbiaceae. The record is from RNAcentral.
GGCGAUCAGAGUAGCUAGCUAUUGGAUUCCGAAGAUGACCGUCCUUAUGGCCUAGAACAAAAAUGCAUCCUCCCGCAGUCUGUAAACAGAUAGCUUAAGUUGCUAGAGAAUGAAGUUUCUUUGGAGACACACACACAUAUUGGUAGAAGAGGGAAACUUCCUCUCUGGUCAAGCUCAACCCCUACAUGCAACAAAACACCAUAUCUUUGAUAGAUUGCAAGAUUCUUUUAAUGUGAACAACAUACUUGUAAGCCACAAACUUCAAACUCAAAACCACUUAUGUAUAACCCACCCGGCUGAAGGAAAGGAAGACCCACGUCUGAGCAAAGCAUGGAGGGCCAUUCCCGCCUGAAAAG